GUGGGGAAUCUUCCGCAAUGGACGAAAGUCUGACGGAGCAACGCCGCGUGAGUGAAGAAGGUUUUCGGAUCGUAAAGCUCUUUCGUUAGGGACGAACGUGCUCUUUGUGAAUAAUGAGGAGUAAUGACGGUACCUAAAUAAGAAGCCACGGCUAACUACGUGCCAGCAGCCGCGGUAAUACGUAGGUGGCAAGCGUUGUCCGGAAAUAUUGGGCGUAAAGCGCGCGCAGGCGGGAUAUCAAGUCUGUCUUAAAAGUGCGAGGCUCAACCUCGUGAGGGGACAGAAACUGGUAUUCUUGAGUGUCGGAGAGGAAAGUGGAAUUCCAAGUGUAGCGGUGAAAUGCGUAGAGAUUUGGAAGAACACCAGUGGCGAAGGCGGCUUACUGGACUGUAACUGACGCUGAGGCGCGAAAGUGUGGGGAGCAAACAGGAUUAGAAACCCGGGUAGUCC
Molecule: ribosomal RNA, 450 nt
Filed under: uncultured bacterium
Lineage: Bacteria
Description: partial 16S ribosomal RNA
Rfam family: Bacterial small subunit ribosomal RNA
Source: RNAcentral